UACGGAGGGUGCAAGCGUUAUCCGGAUUCACUGGGUUUAAAGGGAGCGUAGGUGGGUUGGUAAGUCAGACGUGAAAUCCCUCGGCUUAACCGGGGAACUGCGUCUGAUACUGGAUGGCUUGAGUUUGGGAGAGGGAUGCGGAAUUCCAGGUGUAGCGGUGAAAUGCGUAGAUAUCUGGAGGAACACCGGUGGCGAAGGCGGCAUCCUGGACCAACACUGACACUGAGGAGCGAAAGCCAGGGGAGCAAACGGG
Molecule: ribosomal RNA, 253 nt
Filed under: uncultured bacterium
Lineage: Bacteria
Description: partial 16S ribosomal RNA
Rfam family: Bacterial small subunit ribosomal RNA
Source: RNAcentral